CGUGUAGGCGGGGACAUAAGUCAGAUGUGAAAUACCGAGGCUUAACUUCGGGGCUGCAUCUGAAACUAUGUUUCUUGAGUGUCGGAGAGGAAAGUGGAAUUCCCAGUGUAGCGGUGAAAUGCGUAGAUAUUGGGAGGAACACCAGUGGCGAAGGCGACUUUCUGGACGAUAACUGACGCUGAGGCGCGAAAGCGUGGGGAGCAAACAGGAUUAGAUACCCUGGUAGUCCACGCUGUAAACGAUGGAUACUAGGUGUAGGAGGUAUCGACCCCUUCUGUGCCGGAGUUAACACAAUAAGUAUCCCACCUGGGGAUACGGCCGCAAGGUUGAA
RNAcentral lists this ribosomal RNA (331 nucleotides) under uncultured bacterium. RNAcentral describes it as "bacterial SSU rRNA". It matches the Rfam family "Bacterial small subunit ribosomal RNA", at positions 568 to 898 of the family's 1533-position model. The record is from RNAcentral.